RNAcentral lists this long non-coding RNA (1073 nucleotides) under Bos indicus x Bos taurus (hybrid cattle). Its description in RNAcentral is "lncRNA (ENSBIXG00005022468.1)". Lineage: Eukaryota; Metazoa; Chordata; Mammalia; Artiodactyla; Bovidae. The record is from RNAcentral.
AACGGAGCAGCCAUUGAAACUCCAUCAUGAUAGGUGAGCUGGUUAAAGUCCUGUAUUUAUCCGGCUUCCAGGGUUAAGUACAGAAAGGCCAGGAGAGGAGGGGGUGUCUUCUGACUGCAGCGAUGGAGAUGAAAAGGAGACUGUUUCCUCCCAUCCACAGGGAGCUGGUGGGGCGUGCGUUCCUCAUCACGAGACUGCACCUUGCCCAGCACAUCUGGAAAAGCUGCUCUGGGGUGUGUGUUACACCCCACACAAUCUCGCCCGGUCCUUCGGAAAGUCUUCUGGAAUUUGGGAGCCUGGGAGAUGUUGAAAGGUUCUGAUCAGUGGUAGAGGCCUCCAGAAUUAAGGAUGGCGUGUAUAAAACCACAGUUGCCUGGAGCAUCUCCACACUUGCUCGCAGUGGAAUCCUCCCUUAGCCACUCUUGGCUUUUCCUGGAAGAACGGCCUCUGCAGCUGUCGCUUGGCUGGAGGAAAGGCGGGGGACCCCACAGCCCCCCUGCCCAAGAACCAGGGACAUCGCCACAUUCUGCGCCCUUAGGACUAACGUCAGGUUCGGCCUAGAGUAGGUUUUGGCAAAAUGUCUGCCAAUGAAUCGUGUCCCCUCUUCCUGGAGAUAUUAAGCAAUAUUCUUUGCUUUGUCCACACUUUCAGGAGGAGAGAAGGUGUAUCGGCAAAGGAUGGUGCUGAAGCAUGAAGCUGCUGCUGCAGCCUUGAAGCUGGAAGGCUCGCCCUGAAGUUAGACGGGUUGGGGUACCCAACCCCUGCCAAACCCACCUCUGUGUUCCUGUCUGCCUGGGAAAAAGAAAAGACACUCUCGAUCCGUCACCUGAAGUAGCCACAAUUAGGAAAGUGUCAGGACUGCAUUGUCUGAGUUCUUUGCCAGGAUCCCGGGAGUAGGGGUGGGGAGGGACAAAGGUGUGGGCUGAGCGGACCCUUCAGACAACCCCGUUGUCUCCAGGGCGGGGGGAUCUCUUUAAAAAAACACGUGAGGCUCCCCUGGAACUGUUCAUGUCCUUCUUCUCAAGGGCACACACGGCAGAAGCGACCCCGGCUCUCAGAUCACAGGCUCUGUG